This is a long non-coding RNA of Myotis brandtii (Brandt's bat), 146 nucleotides long. RefSeq lists it as uncharacterized. The transcript is spliced from 3 exons. Lineage: Eukaryota; Metazoa; Chordata; Mammalia; Chiroptera; Vespertilionidae. The record is from RefSeq and is a predicted model, not a curated record.
GGUGUCACUGCGUGGACGGCUACACAGGGCCCACAUGCCGCCAGGGUGGGCCCCCCCAGCUCCCUGGGAUCCCGUCCCCAGCCCUGGGCCCAGCGUCCUCACAGGCCGCCCCGCACAGACCAGCGCCCGGGCUCCGCCGCAGGGCA